RNAcentral lists this ribosomal RNA (402 nucleotides) under Verrucomicrobiota bacterium. RNAcentral describes it as "Verrucomicrobia bacterium partial 16S ribosomal RNA". It matches the Rfam family "Bacterial small subunit ribosomal RNA", at positions 355 to 776 of the family's 1533-position model. Lineage: Bacteria; Pseudomonadati; Verrucomicrobiota. The record is from RNAcentral.
UGGGGAAUUUUGCACAAUGGGGGAAACCCUGAUGCAGCGACGCCGCGUGAUUUAGAAGGCCUUCGGGUUGUAAAAAUCUUUUGUAUGGGAAGAAAAUGACAGUACCAUACGAAUAAGGUCCGGCUAAAUACGUGCCAGCAGCCGCGGUAAUACGUAUGGACCGAGCGUUGUCCGGAAUCAUUGGGCGUAAAGGGUACGUAGGCGGCCCAGUAAGUUAGAAGUGAAAUAAUAUAGCUCAACUAUAUAAAGCUUUUAAAACUGCUAGGCUUGAGAGAUGGAAGGGAAAGUGGAAUUCCUAGUGUAGCGGUGAAAUGCGCAGAUAUUAGGAAGAAUACCGGUGGCGAAGGCGACUUUCUGGUCAUCAUCUGACGCUGAGGUACGAAAGCGUGGGUAGCAAACAGG